This 1480-nucleotide ribosomal RNA is filed under the name Bacteroidetes bacterium ADurb.Bin013. RNAcentral's name for it is "bacterial SSU rRNA". It matches the Rfam family "Bacterial small subunit ribosomal RNA". The record is from RNAcentral. Lineage: Bacteria; Pseudomonadati; Bacteroidota.
UAUUGAGAGUUUGAUCCUGGCUCAGGAUGAACGCUGGCGGCGUGUCUAAGGCAUGCAAGUCGAAUGGUCUGGUUUCCAGACCAUGGCAAACGGGAGAGUAACACAUUGGUAAUUUACCCCAAAGACGAGAAUAAUCCAGAGAAAUCUGGAAUAAUACUCGAUAUUAUGCAUUGUCGCCUGAUAAUGCAUCAAAGCUCCGGCGCUUUGGGAGAAGCCUAUGGUCUAUCAGCUAGUUGGUGGGGUAAUGGCCUACCAAGGCGACGACGGAUAGCGGGUGUGAGAGCACGACCCGUCUCACUGGGACUGAGACACUGCCCAGACUCCUACGGGAGGCUGCAGUCAAGAAUAUUCCUCAAUGGCCGAAAGGCUGAAGGAGCGACGCCGCGUGUAUGAUGAAGCCCUUCGGGGUGUAAAAUACUUUUAACCGGGACGAAGUACUGACGGUACCGGUUGAAUAAGGGGCUGCUAACCUCGUGCCAGCAGCAGCGGUAAUACGAGGGCCCCGAGCGUUAUCCGGAUUUAUUGGGCGUAAAGGGUGUGUAGGCUGUUUAUACCAUCUCCUGUUAAAUCUUAAGGCUCAACCUUGAGGCUGCGGGAGAUAUGAAUAAACUAGAGUUCGGAAGAGGCAAGCGGAAUUGCUGGUGUAGGGGUUAAAUCCGUUAAUAUCAGCAAGAACACCGAAAGCGAAGGCAGCUUGCUAGGACGACACUGACGCUGAGACACGAAAGCGUGGGGAGCGAAUGGGAUUAGAUACCCCAGUAGUCCACGCUGUAAACGAUGGAUGCUGAACAUUGGCAGUAUCGACCCUGCCAGUGUGGCUGUAAUCAAGCUAACGCCUUAAGCAUCCCGCCUGGGGAGUACGGCCGCAAGGCUAAAACUCAAAGGAAUAGACGGGGACCCGCACAAGCGGUGGAGCAUGUGGUUUAAUUCGACGAUAAGCGAGGAACCUCACCAAGGUUUGACAUCUAGCUGCAGACUCCUGGAAACAGGAGAGCCUUCGAGGGUGCUAGACAGAUGCUGCAUGGUUGUCGUCAGCUCGUGUCGUGAGAUGUACCGUUAAGUCGGAAAACGAGCGCAACCCUUAUUCUAUGUUUCAUGUGUCAUAGAAAACUGCCUGCGUUAAGCAGGAGGAAGGUGGGGAUGACGUCAAAUCAGCAUGGUUCUUACACCUUGGGCGACACACGUGCUACAAUGGGUAAUACAAAGGGACGCCAAACCGUAAGGUGGAGCAAAUCCCCCAAAAUUACUCUCAGUUCGGAUUGAGGUCUGCAACUCGACCUCAUGAAGCCGGAAUCGCUAGUAAACGCGUAUCAGCCACGGCGCGUUGAAUACGUUCUCGGGUCUUGUACUCACCGCCCGUCACGUCAAGAGAGUCGGUAACACCCGAACAGCGCACCCGCGUUGGAAGGUGGGAUCGAUGAUAGGGACGAAGUCGUAACAAGGCAUCCGUAGCGGAAGCUGUGGAUGGAUUAUCUCCUUU